Molecule: ribosomal RNA, 771 nt
Filed under: Cis nitidus
Lineage: Eukaryota; Metazoa; Arthropoda; Insecta; Coleoptera; Ciidae
Description: partial 16S ribosomal RNA
Rfam family: Bacterial large subunit ribosomal RNA (bases 1-558)
Source: RNAcentral
AUGAUUUAAGGUCUAAUCUGCCCAAUGAGUAAUUAAAUGGCCGCAGUAUUCUGACUGUGCAAAGGUAGCAUAAUCAUUAGUUUUUUAAUUGGAAGCUUGAAUGAAUGAUUGGAUAAGAAAGUUAUUGUCUCAUUUUAAUAAUUAGAAUUUUACUUUUUAGUUAAAAGGCUAAAAUUUUUUAGGAAGACGAGAAGACCCUAUAGAGUUUUAUUAAUCUUAAUUUAUUAAUUUAUGGGAUAAUAAUUUUUUUUGAUUAAUUUGGUUGGGGUGAUUUAAAAAUUUAAUAAACUUUUUAUUUUUAUUAACAUUUAUUUAUGAAUAUAUGAUCUUUUUUUUAGAAUUAAAAGAACAAAUUACCUUAGGGAUAACAGCGUUAUUUUCCUUGAUAGUUCAAAUUGGAAGGAAAGAUUGCGACCUCGAUGUUGGAUUAAAAUUUAAAUUGGGUGUAGAAGCUUAAAUUUUGGGUCUGUUCGACCUUUAAAAUUUUACAUGAUCUGAGUUUAAACCGGCGUGAGCCAGGUUGGUUUCUAUCUUCUAUAAGUUAAAAUAUUUUAGUACGAAAGGACCAAGUAUUUAAAUAAUAUUUUUUAUAUGAAUUAUAUUAAUUAUUAUUUUGGCAGAUUAGUGCUAUAGAUUUAGAAUCUUUAUAUGUAAUUUUUACAAAUAAUAUUGGUUUAUAAGGAUUUAUUUUUAAUAUUGUUUUCUUUUAUUGUAUUAAUUUUAGUUGUUUUAAUUGGUGUUGCUUUUUUAACGUUGAUGGAACGUAAGGUU